GGGUGGUAAUGCCGGAUGCUCCAGUUGAUCGCAUGGUCUUCUGGGAAAGCUUUCGCGGUAUGGGAUGGGGUCGCGUCCUAUCAGCUUGACGGCGGGGUAACGGCCCACCGUGGCUUCGACGGGUAGCCGGCCUGAGAGGGCGACCGGCCACAUUGGGACUGAGAUACGGCCCAGACUCCUACGGGAGGCAGCAGUGGGGAAUAUUGCACAAUGGGCGCAAGCCUGAUGCAGCGACGCCGCGUGAGGGAUGGAGGCCUUCGGGUUGUAAACCUCUUUUAUCGGGGAGCAAGCGAGAGUGAGUUUACCCGUUGAAUAAGCACCGGCUAACUACGUGCCAGCAGCCGCGGUAAUACGUAGGGUGCAAGCGUUAUCCGGAAUUAUUGGGCGUAAAGGGCUCGUAGGCGGUUCGUCGCGUCCGGUGUGAAAGUCCAUCGCUUAACGGUGGAUCCGCGCCGGGUACGGGCGGGCUUGAGUGCGGUAGGGGAGACUGGAAUUCCCGGUGUAACGGUGGAAUGUGUAGAUAUCGGAAAGAAACACC
RNAcentral lists this ribosomal RNA (538 nucleotides) under Bifidobacterium longum subsp. infantis. RNAcentral describes it as "bacterial SSU rRNA". It matches the Rfam family "Bacterial small subunit ribosomal RNA", at positions 158 to 710 of the family's 1533-position model. The record is from RNAcentral. Lineage: Bacteria; Bacillati; Actinomycetota; Actinomycetes; Bifidobacteriales; Bifidobacteriaceae.